RNAcentral lists this ribosomal RNA (440 nucleotides) under uncultured bacterium. RNAcentral describes it as "partial 16S ribosomal RNA". It matches the Rfam family "Bacterial small subunit ribosomal RNA", at positions 338 to 795 of the family's 1533-position model. The record is from RNAcentral.
CCUACGGGAGGCAGCAGUAGGGAAUAUUGCUCAAUGGGGGAAACCCUGAAGCAGCAACGCCGCGUGGAGGAUGAAGGUUCUCGGAUUGUAAACCCCUUUUGUUAGAGAAGAUAAUGACGGUAUCUAACGAAUAAGCACCGGCUAACUCCGUGCCAGCAGCCGCGGUAAUACGGAGGGUGCAAGCGUUACCCGGAAUCACUGGGCGUAAAGAGCGCGUAGGCGGGAUAGCAAGUCAGAUGUGAAAUCCUAUGGCUUAACCAUAGAACUGCAUUUGAAACUGUUAUUCUAGAGUAUGGGAGAGGUAGGUGGAAUUAUUGGUGUAGGGGUAAAAUGCGUAGAGAUCAAGAGGAAUACUCAUUGCGAAGGCGACCUGCUAGAACAUAACUGACGCUGAUGCGCGAAAGCGUGGGGAGCAAACAGGAUUAGAUACCCGUGUAGUC